RNAcentral lists this ribosomal RNA (475 nucleotides) under uncultured bacterium. Its description in RNAcentral is "bacterial SSU rRNA". It matches the Rfam family "Bacterial small subunit ribosomal RNA", at positions 26 to 518 of the family's 1533-position model. The record is from RNAcentral.
AGGACGAACGCUGGCGGCACGCUUAACACAUGCAAGUCGAACGGAGAAUUUUGGUUACUGAGAAUUCUUAGUGGCGGACGGGUGAGUAACACGUGAGCAACCUACCUCAGAGAGAGGGAUAGCUUCUGGAAACGGAUGGUAAUACCUCAUAACAUAACUGAAAGGCAUCUUUUGGUUAUCAAAGAUUUAUCACUCUGAGAUGGGCUCGCGUCUGAUUAGAUAGUUGGUGAGGUAACGGCUCACCAAGUCGACGAUCAGUAGCCGGACUGAGAGGUUGAACGGCCACAUUGGGACUGAGACACGGCCCAGACUCCUACGGGAGGCAGCAGUGGGGAAUAUUGCACAAUGGGGGAAACCCUGAUGCAGCGAUGCCGCGUGGAGGAAGAAGGUCUUCGGAUUGUAAACUCCUGUCUUAAAGGACGAUAAUGACGGUACUUUAGGAGGAAGCUCCGGCUAACUACGUGCCAGCCGCGGC